RNAcentral lists this ribosomal RNA (492 nucleotides) under uncultured bacterium. RNAcentral describes it as "partial 16S ribosomal RNA". It matches the Rfam family "Bacterial small subunit ribosomal RNA", at positions 29 to 507 of the family's 1533-position model. The record is from RNAcentral.
AGUGAACGCUGGCGGUAGGCCUAACACAUGCAAGUCGAACGGCAACACAGUAAGAGCUUGCUCUUACGGGUGGCGAGUGGCGGACGGGGGAGGAAUACAUCGGAAUCUACUUUUUCGUGGGGGAUAACGGAGGGAAACUUACGCUAAUACCGCAUACGAACUACGGGUGAAAGCAGGGGAUCUUCGGACCUUGCGCGGAUGAAUGAGCCGAUGUCGGAUUAGCUAGUUGGCGGGGUAAAGGCCCACCAAGGCGACGAUCCGUAGCUGGUCUGAGAGGAUGAUCAGCCACACUGGAACUGAGACACGGUCCAGACUCCUACGGGAGGCAGCAGUGGGGAAUAUUGGACAAUGGGCGCAAGCCUGAUCCAGCCAUACCGCGUGGGUGAAGAAGGCCUUCGGGUUGUAAAGCCCUUUUGUUGGGAAAGAAAAGCAGCAGGUUAAUACCCCGCUGUUCUGACGGUACCCAAAGAAUAAGCACCGGCUAACUUCGUG